UAAUUCAACUUCAAACUCAACCCCAAAGAGAUUUUGUGCAAACCACUUCCAAGGCUACAUCAAAGGCUCCAAUAACCUUGCUAUACUACAUUCAAAAGCCCUCCAAUCUCUUCAAUCGGAACAUGGCAGGCAACCAAGCACGCAUCAGACAGGGUAGAGAGACCCAGACUACGUCGGCUAGACGCGAGCGGGCGGCGCAGCUGGCGUCGACGCAGGGACGAGGGCAGGGCCGGGGACGUGUGCGAGUUCCCGUGCAGAUGGAAGGUACCUCUACAUCUGGAUCGAGGAGUCGUCUGGCUCGGGUAUCUUCUUCCUGCCAGCGAGAGGAGGAGGAUGAGGAGGAGGCAGUGACAUACCACGAGGCGGAGGAGGUACCAGAUGUUGACCCUCCACACGGGGAGGAGGAGGAGCAGGAGGAGGGCUACCCGGGAGGAGAGAGACUUUGAAAAUGGUGAACCACUCCCGGAAGGUUUUCAGUCUGUUUAAACCGAAUGAUGAGGGGUUUAACGACGUGGUGAGAGCUUCAGGGCUUAGUGGGCUCUGCAUGACGGGG
Vicia villosa (hairy vetch) is the source of this 553-nucleotide long non-coding RNA. RefSeq lists it as uncharacterized. The record is from RefSeq and is a predicted model, not a curated record. Lineage: Eukaryota; Viridiplantae; Streptophyta; Magnoliopsida; Fabales; Fabaceae. The transcript is spliced from 3 exons.